RNAcentral lists this ribosomal RNA (500 nucleotides) under uncultured bacterium. RNAcentral's name for it is "partial 16S ribosomal RNA". It matches the Rfam family "Bacterial small subunit ribosomal RNA", at positions 30 to 523 of the family's 1533-position model. The record is from RNAcentral.
AUUGAACGCUGGCGGCAUGCCUUACACAUGCAAGUCGAACGGCAGCACGGGAGCAAUCCUGGUGGCGAGUGGCGAACGGGUGAGUAAUAUAUCGGAACGUGCCCAGUCGUGGGGGAUAACGCAGCGAAAGCUGUGCUAAUACCGCAUACGAUCUACGGAUGAAAGCGGGGGAUCGCAAGGCCUCGCGCGAUUGGAGCGGCCGAAAUCAGAUUAGCUAGUUGGUGAGGUAAAGGCUCACCAAGGCGACGAUCUGUAGCUGGUCUGAGAGGACGACCAGCCAAACUGGAACUGAGACACGGUCCAGACUCCUACGGGAGGCAGCAGUGGGGAAUUUUGGACAAUGGGCGAAAGCCUGAUCCAGCAAUGCCGCGUGCAGGAUGAAGGCCUUCGGGUUGUAAACUGCUUUUGUACGGAACGAAACGGUGAGCUCUAAUACAGUUUGCUAAUGACGGUACCGUAAGAAUAAGCACCGGCUAACUACGUGCCAGCCGCCGCGGUAA